RNAcentral lists this ribosomal RNA (253 nucleotides) under uncultured bacterium. RNAcentral describes it as "partial 16S ribosomal RNA". It matches the Rfam family "Bacterial small subunit ribosomal RNA", at positions 524 to 776 of the family's 1533-position model. The record is from RNAcentral.
UACGGAGGGUGCAAACGUUGCUCGGAAUCAUUGGGCGUAAAGCGCACGUAGGCGGCCUGCUAAGUCGGGUGUGAAAGCCCUGGGCUCAACCCAGGAAGUGCACUCGAAACUGGUAGGCUUGAAUAUGGAAGAGGGUCGCGGAAUUCCCGGUGUAGAGGUGAAAUUCGUAGAUAUCGGGAGGAACACCAGUGGCGAAGGCGGCGACCUGGGCCAAUAUUGACGCUGAGGUGCGAAAGCGUGGGGAGCAAACAGG